CUCAUACUCCCUCCGUUCGGAAUUACUCGUCGGAGAAAUGGAUGUAUCUAGACGUAUUUUAGUUCUAGACACAUAAAUUUUCGCGACAAGUAAUUCCGAACGGAGGGAGUAUUUU
Triticum aestivum (bread wheat) is the source of this 115-nucleotide non-coding RNA. The record is from Rfam. NCBI's taxonomy places the organism in Eukaryota, Viridiplantae, Streptophyta, Magnoliopsida, Poales, Poaceae.